GAUGAAGAACGCAGCGAAAUGCGAUAAGUAAUGUGAAUUGCAGAAUUCAGUGAAUCAUCGAAUCUUUGAACGCACCUUGCGCCCUUUGGCCAUUCCGAAGGGCAUGCCUGUUUGAGUAUCAUGAACACCUCAACUCUUUAUGGUUUUCCAUGAUGAGCUUGGACUUUGGGGGUUUUGCUGGCCUAUGGUCGGCUCCUCUAAAAUAAAUCAGCUUACCGGUGUUUGGUGGGUAUCAUGGGUGUGAUAACUAUCUACGCUUGUGGUUUUUCCACCAGGUAACCUUCGACAGCGGAGGUUCACUGGAGCUCACAGAUGUCUCUCCUCAGCGAGGACAGCCCUUUGAAUGUUUGAUCUCAAAUCAGGUAGGACUACCCGCUGAACUUAAGCAUAUCAUAAGCGGAGGA
This 404-nucleotide unclassified non-coding RNA is filed under the name soil metagenome. RNAcentral's name for it is "partial contains 5.8S ribosomal RNA, internal transcribed spacer 2, and large subunit ribosomal RNA". The stretch from base 1 to 121 matches the Rfam family "5.8S ribosomal RNA", at positions 35 to 154 of the family's 154-position model. The record is from RNAcentral.